This 450-nucleotide ribosomal RNA is filed under the name uncultured bacterium. RNAcentral's name for it is "bacterial SSU rRNA". It matches the Rfam family "Bacterial small subunit ribosomal RNA", at positions 329 to 794 of the family's 1533-position model. The record is from RNAcentral.
GGCCAGACUCCUACGGGAGGCAGCAGUAGGUCCUCUUUCACAAUUUUCGCCAGCCUGAUGGCGCCACGCCGCGUGCCGGAUGAAGGCCUUCGGGUUGUAACCUGCUUUUAUAAGCGAGAAAUAUGAUGGUAACUUAUGAAUAAGGAUCGGCUAACUACGUGCCAGCAGCCGCGGUCAUACGUAGGAUCCGAGCAUUAUCCGGAGUGACUGGGGGUAAAGAGUUGCGGAGGUGGCAUAGUAAGGAGCUAGUGAAAUCGGGUGGCUCAACCAGUCAGACUAUUAGCUAAACUGCUAAGCUCGAGACCGGGAGGGGUAACGGGAAUUUCUAGUGGAGGAGUGAAAUCCGGAGAGAUUAGAAGGAACACCGAUAGCGGAGGCAGGUUACUGGGACGGUUCUGACACGAAGGCACGAAAGCGGAGGGAGCAAACGGGAGGAGAUACCCCUGUACC